UACGGGGGGGGCAAGCGUUGUUCGGAAUUACUGGGCGUAAAGGGCGCGUAGGCGGCCUGCUAAGUCGGAUGUGAAAUCCCUCGGCUCAACCGAGGAACUGCAUCCGAUACUGGCGGGCUUGAAUCCGGGAGAGGGAUGUGGAAUUCCAGGUGUAGCGGUGAAAUGCGUAGAUAUCUGGAGGAACACCGGUGGCGAAGGCGGCUUCCUGGACCGACACUGACGCUGAGGCGCGAAAGCUAGGGGAGCAAACGGG
This 253-nucleotide ribosomal RNA is filed under the name uncultured bacterium. Its description in RNAcentral is "partial 16S ribosomal RNA". It matches the Rfam family "Bacterial small subunit ribosomal RNA", at positions 524 to 776 of the family's 1533-position model. The record is from RNAcentral.